This 952-nucleotide ribosomal RNA is filed under the name Salmonella enterica subsp. enterica. RNAcentral describes it as "partial 23S ribosomal RNA". It matches the Rfam family "Bacterial large subunit ribosomal RNA", at positions 1918 to 2864 of the family's 2925-position model. The record is from RNAcentral. RNAcentral also lists the same sequence under 1 other name. Lineage: Bacteria; Pseudomonadati; Pseudomonadota; Gammaproteobacteria; Enterobacterales; Enterobacteriaceae.
CCCCGGUAAACGGCGGCCGUAACUAUAACGGUCCUAAGGUAGCGAAAUUCCUUGUCGGGUAAGUUCCGACCUGCACGAAUGGCGUAAUGAUGGCCAGGCUGUCUCCACCCGAGACUCAGUGAAAUUGAACUCGCUGUGAAGAUGCAGUGUACCCGCGGCAAGACGGAAAGACCCCGUGAACCUUUACUAUAGCUUGACACUGAACAUUGAGCCUUGAUGUGUAGGAUAGGUGGGAGGCUUUGAAGUGUGGACGCCAGUCUGCAUGGAGCCGACCUUGAAAUACCACCCUUUAAUGUUUGAUGUUCUAACGUGGACCCGUAAUCCGGGUUGCGGACAGUGUCUGGUGGGUAGUUUGACUGGGGCGGUCUCCUCCUAAAGAGUAACGGAGGAGCACGAAGGUUGGCUAAUCCUGGUCGGACAUCAGGAGGUUAGUGCAAUGGCAUAAGCCAGCUUGACUGCGAGCGUGACGGCGCGAGCAGGUGCGAAAGCAGGUCAUAGUGAUCCGGUGGUUCUGAAUGGAAGGGCCAUCGCUCAACGGAUAAAAGGUACUCCGGGGAUAACAGGCUGAUACCGCCCAAGAGUUCAUAUCGACGGCGGUGUUUGGCACCUCGAUGUCGGCUCAUCACAUCCUGGGGCUGAAGUAGGUCCCAAGGGUAUGGCUGUUCGCCAUUUAAAGUGGUACGCGAGCUGGGUUUAGAACGUCGUGAGACAGUUCGGUCCCUAUCUGCCGUGGGCGCUGGAGAACUGAGGGGGGCUGCUCCUAGUACGAGAGGACCGGAGUGGACGCAUCACUGGUGUUCGGGUUGUCAUGCCAAUGGCACUGCCCGGUAGCUAAAUGCGGAAGAGAUAAGUGCUGAAAGCAUCUAAGCACGAAACUUGCCCCGAGAUGAGUUCUCCCUGAGACUUAGAGUCUCCUGAAGGAACGUUGAAGACGACGACGUUGAUAGGCCGG